Molecule: ribosomal RNA, 301 nt
Filed under: uncultured bacterium
Lineage: Bacteria
Description: partial 16S ribosomal RNA
Rfam family: Bacterial small subunit ribosomal RNA
Source: RNAcentral
CAGUCGCCACGGUAAUACGUAGGGUGCGAGCGUUAAUCGGAAUUACUGGGCGUGAAGCGGGCGCAGACGGUUACUUAAGCAGGAUGUGAAAUCCCCGGGCUCAACCUGGGAAUUGCGUUCUGAACUGGGUGGCUAGAGUGUGUCAGAGGGGGGUAGAAUUCCACGUGUAGCAGUGAAAUGCGUAGAGAUGUGGAGGAAUACCGAUGGCGAAGGCAGCCCCCUGGGAUAGCACUGACGUUCAUGCCCGAAAGCGUGGGUAGCAAACAGGAUUAGAUACCCCUGUAGUCCCUGUCUCUUAUAC